AGCGAACGUUAGCGGCGGGCUUAACACAUGCAAGUCGAACGAGAAUGUAGGCUUCGGCCUACUAGUAAAGUGGCGGACGGGUGCGUAACACGUGGGUAAUCUACCUUUCCGGCGGGGGAUAACGAUUCGAAAGGAUCGAUAAUACCGCGUACGACGGCGGAAACUCCGGUUUCUGUCGGGAAAGACGGCCUCUUCAUGAAAGCUGUCACCGGAAGAUGAACUCGCGGCCCAUCAGCUAGUUGGCGAGGUAACGGCUCACCAAGGCAUAGACGGGUAGCUGGUCUGAGAGGAUGAUCAGCCACACUGGGACUGCGACACGGCCCAGACUCCUACGGGAGGCAGCAGUGGGGAAUAUUGGGCAAUGGGCGCAAGCCUGACCCAGCCACGCCGCGUGAGUGAUGAAGGCCUUCGGGUCGUAAAGCUCUGUGGGGAGGGACGAAAAAGACGGGAGCUAAUAUCCCCGGACUUGACGGUACCUCCUUAGCAAGCACCGGCUAACCCUGUGCCAGCAGCCGCGGUAAUACAGGGGGUGCAAACGUUGCUCGGAAUUAUUGGGGCGUAAAGCGCGCGUAGGCGGCUUUGCAAGUCGGAUGUGAAAGCCCUCGGCUUAACCCGAGGAAGUGCAUCCGAAACUGCAUAGCUAGAGUACCAAAGAGGAUCGCGGAAAUUCCCGGUGUAGAGGUGAAAUUCGUAGAUAUCGGGGGGAACACCAGUGGCGAAGGCGGCGAUCUGGUUGGAAACUGACGCUGAGGCGC
Molecule: ribosomal RNA, 755 nt
Filed under: uncultured bacterium
Lineage: Bacteria
Description: bacterial SSU rRNA
Rfam family: Bacterial small subunit ribosomal RNA
Source: RNAcentral